RNAcentral lists this ribosomal RNA (467 nucleotides) under uncultured bacterium. RNAcentral's name for it is "partial 16S ribosomal RNA". It matches the Rfam family "Bacterial small subunit ribosomal RNA", at positions 29 to 506 of the family's 1533-position model. The record is from RNAcentral.
AUGAACGCUGGCGGCGUGCUUAACACAUGCAAGUCGAACGGUGAACACGGAGCUUGCUCUGUGGGAUCAGUGGCGAACGGGUGAGUAACACGUGAGCAACCUGCCCCUGACUCUGGGAUAAGCGCUGGAAACGGCGUCUAAUACUGGAUAUGUGACGUGACCGCAUGGUCUGCGUUUGGAAAGAUUUUUCGGUUGGGGAUGGGCUCGCGGCCUAUCAGCUUGUUGGUGAGGUAAUGGCUCACCAAGGCGUCGACGGGUAGCCGGCCUGAGAGGGUGACCGGCCACACUGGGACUGAGACACGGCCCAGACUCCUACGGGAGGCAGCAGUGGGGAAUAUUGCACAAUGGGCGCAAGCCUGAUGCAGCAACGCCGCGUGAGGGAUGACGGCCUUCGGGUUGUAAACCUCUUUUAGCAGGGAAGAAGCGAAAGUGACGGUACCUGCAGAAAAAGCGCCGGCUAACUACGU